AUUGAACGCUGGCGGCAGGCCUAACACAUGCAAGUCGAGCGGAUGAAGGGAGCUUGCUCCUGGAUUCAGCGGCGGACGGGUGAGUAAUGCCUAGGAAUCUGCCUGGUAGUGGGGGAUAACGUCCGGAAACGGGCGCUAAUACCGCAUACGUCCUGAGGGAGAAAGUGGGGGAUCUUCGGACCUCACGCUAUCAGAUGAGCCUAGGUCGGAUUAGCUAGUUGGUGGGGUAAAGGCCUACCAAGGCGACGAUCCGUAACUGCUCUGAGAGGAUGAUCAGUCACACUGGAACUGAGACACGGUCCAGACUCCUACGGGAGGCAGCAGUGGGGAAUAUUGGACAAUGGGCGAAAGCCUGAUCCAGCCAUGCCGCGUGUGUGAAGAAGGUCUUCGGAUUGUAAAGCACUGUAAGUUGGGAGGAAGGGCAGUAAGUUAAUACCUGGCUGUUUUGACGUUACCAACAGAGUAAGCACCGGCUAACUUCGUG
This 484-nucleotide ribosomal RNA is filed under the name uncultured bacterium. Its description in RNAcentral is "partial 16S ribosomal RNA". It matches the Rfam family "Bacterial small subunit ribosomal RNA", at positions 30 to 507 of the family's 1533-position model. The record is from RNAcentral.